Molecule: ribosomal RNA, 301 nt
Filed under: uncultured bacterium
Lineage: Bacteria
Description: partial 16S ribosomal RNA
Rfam family: Bacterial small subunit ribosomal RNA
Source: RNAcentral
CAGCAGCCGCGGUAAAACGUAGGUGGCAAGCGUUGUCCGGAAUUAUUGGGCGUAAAGCGCGCGCAGGCGGCCUCCUAAGUCUGAUGUGAAAGCCCCCGGCUCAACCGGGGAGGGCCAUUGGAAACUGGGAGGCUUGAGUAUAGGAGAGAAGAGUGGAAUUCCACGUGUAGCGGUGAAAUGCGUAGAGAUGUGGAGGAACACCAGUGGCGAAGGCGACUCUUUGGCCUAUAACUGACGCUGAGGCGCGAAAGCGUGGGGAGCAAACAGGAUUAGAUACCCCCGUAGUCCCUGUCUCUUAUAC